RNAcentral lists this long non-coding RNA (380 nucleotides) under Ananas comosus (pineapple). RNAcentral's name for it is "long non-coding RNA (ACOM_LNC014141)". Lineage: Eukaryota; Viridiplantae; Streptophyta; Magnoliopsida; Poales; Bromeliaceae. The record is from RNAcentral.
UAUAUAUACUAUUCUAUUAUAAUUUCAACUUUUGUAUAACCCACUGUUUCUCACGCAAGUAACAAAAAGCUUGAUAGUUGGUAUUUAAAGUCUUAAGUUCGAAGCCAAAUUACUUUAUAUUUUCAACUAAAUUUAUUUUCUAAAAAAAAUAAAUGAAACGGAUAGCAUAUCACUAAAUUUCUCUUGUAAAAAAGCAUAUAUAAUAUUCUUAUAUUAGCAUCGCGGUCUUUUUAAAUUUAGUAAUGCUUUGGAUUCUAAGUCACCAACCACACCAUCUCCGCAUCAUCUCUUAGACUCGACCGCUUCGCAUAAUCAACUUUCACAUCAUCUUCUCAUGAAAAAUUUGAAAAUUUGAUGAAGCGACUCGGUAACAACAUAAC